Pseudophryne corroboree (corroboree frog) is the source of this 1244-nucleotide long non-coding RNA. RefSeq lists it as uncharacterized. NCBI's taxonomy places the organism in Eukaryota, Metazoa, Chordata, Amphibia, Anura, Myobatrachidae. The record is from RefSeq and is a predicted model, not a curated record. The transcript has 3 exons.
GCUAAAGAAUGCUAUUAUAGAGGCUGCUGCUUUAAUUCAAGUGUCACUGGGGUUAAAUGGUGUUUUUACCUUAAAAACACAGGAAGUGACAAGAAACAAUGUAAUGUGGAACCGUACAGCAGAAGGGAUUGCGGCUACCCCACAAUAAGUGCAGCGGAAUGUAAGAAGAGGAAUUGUUGCUUUGACUGCAGCAUUCCCGGGGUUAACUGGUGUUUCUUCAAGUCACAAGGUUGAACGGCUUUGGAGUGAUCCACUGUUACAUACCAUCUCUCUGUCAUUUGGAGACGAACGGAGAUCACCGACAGCCCUAAUCCGCCCUAAACCGCCACAGAUAUUUCCAUCUACUACAUCCCAGCCCAAGGAUUACCCAGCUGCGCUGUCGGAGGAGCAUCCAGGCAGCGCAGCACAGAACGGCUUGUGGAUUGGAAACGGCGGAGGUCCGGUGAAUAUCCGGUCGGUCGGACGGCUACAGCAUUCACUGGCACGGGUGAGAUUGCUACAAGUGAGACGGCUUCUGCAUUCACUGGUACGGGUGAGAUUGCUACGAGUGAGACGGGGUCUCAUUUAUUUAUACACUAUCCCGUCAUUUUAGCCACCUACACCUAUGGCCUCACUAGGCUAGGGGCUAUUUGAGCGAUUUGGGACUUUGUUUUAGUAUCUCAUUUUAUAUAUUUUUUUAUAUAUAUUAAUCAUCUUAAAUACGGGACUAUAAUUCUACGGCAUUGGCUGCCCACACUAACGGCUGCUUAAGGAUAGGUGCCUUUAUCGAGACUUUUCAAUAAUAUUGGUUAAAAGGACGGGACUGUUUUCUAUUCAUUUGCUCAAACAUUUAUUAUUCACAUCAGCAGCCGUACGAGGUUAAGAGCUAAUGAGCCAUACGAGACUUUUGGAUACAUAUAUAACGGCUAACCACUACCAGUUUAGAUCGUUAUUGGAAGAACUCUGAGUUUUUAUUUUUUAUUUUUAUUUUAUUUUAUAUGCAAUUUUAUGAUAUCCUACAGGCAAUACAUCUUCCAUUUGUAUAUUUCAUUGAUUUUUGAUACAUUUUUGUGCACAAUUUAUUAAAUAUUAAUUAAGGCUGGCCAGCCAGUGUUUUUCAGGGUUCUAUAUAUUUGUAUCCAUUAUUGGUUUCCUGGAAUACUAAACCAUAUACGAGAAAUUAACUAGAUGGUUAUAUAUUUCAUGAUUGUGUUAUUUUAUUCAUUUUAAUAUUAUUUUCAAUAUCCUAUUGUGGUCACUCUAAG